AGAGAGAGAUAGAGAGAGAUCAGACUGCGAACGAGCUCAAAAUGGAGAGUGCGCCAACUUGUGUAUUCAAUUUGAUGGAACCUCCAUCGAAUCAAAUCAAAUCAGAGAAAAGUGUAAAGUGUAAAGUGUCAAUGGAACUUGGAAGAGAGAGAGAGAGAGAGAGAGAGAGAGAGAGAGAGAGAGAGAUGUAACUUGUGCUGACCAGACAAAGCACUUUCCAGUUCAAAGGAAGAAGAAAAGGGAGGGUGAAAUGCAGCGAUUCCUUUUUCCUACAUGCCAAAUGCUAAUGGUCCUUGAAGGGACUAGUCCACUUUAGCCCCACCCCACCCCACAGUCCACACAUACGCACCACAAAAGAAAAUUGGAGGGCGGAAAACAACACCGCAGCAAACAACCAGCUUGACAUAAUUCAGAUAUUGCAUCAACUUGUCACAACCAGCCCACUUUGUGGACCAUAGACGGCAACAAGAUAUGCACAAAACAAAGUGGCCGCACAUGAGUUGAUGGCUAUAGCCUCUACAGGAAAUGUGAAUAAAAAAAAAUUCAUUUUUAUCGGU
Molecule: long non-coding RNA, 557 nt
Organism: Rhodamnia argentea
Lineage: Eukaryota; Viridiplantae; Streptophyta; Magnoliopsida; Myrtales; Myrtaceae
Exons: 2
Source: RefSeq, a predicted model, not a curated record